This is a transfer RNA of 88 nucleotides. It matches the Rfam family "tRNA". From Rfam's summary of the family: Transfer RNA (tRNA) molecules are approximately 80 nucleotides in length. Their secondary structure includes four short double-helical elements and three loops (D, anti-codon, and T loops). The record is from Rfam.
GGUCGCGUGGCGAAAUGGCAUCGCGUCUGACUACGAUUAAUCAUCGUUCCUAAUCAGGAGAUCGCGGGUUCGACCCCCGUCGUGACCU